Molecule: non-coding RNA, 126 nt
Organism: Triticum aestivum (bread wheat)
Lineage: Eukaryota; Viridiplantae; Streptophyta; Magnoliopsida; Poales; Poaceae
Source: Rfam
UUUAUACUCCCUCUGUCCGAGAAAACCUGUCCCAAGCUUAUUCCUCAAAUGGAUGUAUCUAGCACUAACUUGGUGCUACAUACAUCCAUUUGAGGGACAAGUUUUUCCGGAUGGAGGGAGUACAAA